GUACUUGCUCCGGCAGUACUUAUACUGGAACGACACAGAGAAGAUUAGCAUGGCCCCUGCGAAAGGAUGACACGCAAAUUCGUGAAGCGUUCCAUAUUUUU
Molecule: small nuclear RNA, 101 nt
Filed under: Petromyzon marinus (sea lamprey)
Lineage: Eukaryota; Metazoa; Chordata; Hyperoartia; Petromyzontiformes; Petromyzontidae
Source: RNAcentral